UGAUACCUUCAGGGCAGGGUGAGAUUCCCGACCGGCGGUAGAGCCCGCGAGCCUCUUGAUGUUAAGAGGUUGAUUCGGUGAAAUUCCGAAGCCGACAGUAAAAGUCUGGAUGGGAGAAGGUUUAA
RNAcentral lists this non-coding RNA (125 nucleotides) under Natranaerobius thermophilus. RNAcentral describes it as "FMN sequence". It matches the Rfam family "FMN riboswitch aptamer (RFN element)". Rfam says of the family: The RFN element is a highly conserved domain that is found frequently in the 5'-untranslated regions of prokaryotic mRNAs that encode for flavin mononucleotide (FMN) biosynthesis and transport proteins. This element is a metabolite-dependent riboswitch that directly binds FMN in the absence of proteins. Lineage: Bacteria; Bacillati; Bacillota; Clostridia; Natranaerobiales; Natranaerobiaceae. RNAcentral also lists the same sequence under 1 other name. The record is from RNAcentral.